CGGCGUGAGUGGCGGCGUCGCUGUGAGGAAAGUGAAUGCGCUGGUGGUCAGUGAGUGAUUCAGUGUUCCUUGGUGAUCUACAGCCGUUGUGUUUGUGUGCGUGAGUGAUGGAGAGGAGCAAGGAUCGUAUGUGGCGGCAAUCGUUGGUCUUUCACGGGGCAGCAGUGGAGCGGGUGAGGCCAGAGUGAUGUCGGUGCUUGAUGCCGCCACCUACAGAAUGAUAGCUACUGGAGUUCCGAGGAGUGCAGAAUGAAAGCAGUACCUGAUGAUGAUGGCAGGAUCAUUAUCAGGAAUCUGGCAAGAACUGCAGUGUAGAGAUGCAGAUACCAGUGGAAAGGUUGAAAAUAUCCAGAAGUCUCCUCACAAAGCCUGGUGGUAGCAGCAGCAGCAGCAGCA
Molecule: long non-coding RNA, 396 nt
Organism: Portunus trituberculatus (swimming crab)
Lineage: Eukaryota; Metazoa; Arthropoda; Malacostraca; Decapoda; Portunidae
Exons: 3
Source: RefSeq, a predicted model, not a curated record